This 508-nucleotide ribosomal RNA is filed under the name uncultured Bacteroidales bacterium. RNAcentral's name for it is "bacterial SSU rRNA". It matches the Rfam family "Bacterial small subunit ribosomal RNA", at positions 8 to 507 of the family's 1533-position model. Lineage: Bacteria; Pseudomonadati; Bacteroidota; Bacteroidia; Bacteroidales. The record is from RNAcentral.
AGAGUUUGAUCCUGGCUCAGGAUGAACGCUAGCGGCAGGCUUAACACAUGCAAGUCGAGGGGCAUCGGAGGGAAGCUUGCUUUCCUUGCCGGCGACCGGCGCACGGGUGAGUAACACGUAUGCAACCUGCCCUCUUCAGGGGGACAACCUUCCGAAAGGGAGGCUAAUCCCGCGUAUAUCGGUUUCGGGCAUCCGAGAUCGAGGAAAGAUUCAUCGGAAGAGGAUGGGCAUGCGGCGCAUUAGCUUGACGGCGGGGUAACGGCCCACCGUGGCGACGAUGCGUAGGGGUUCUGAGAGGAAGGUCCCCCACACUGGUACUGAGACACGGACCAGACUCCUACGGGAGGCAGCAGUGAGGAAUAUUGGUCAAUGGGAGAGAUCCUGAACCAGCCAAGCCGCGUGAGGGAAGACGGCCCUAUGGGUUGUAAACCUCUCUUGUCGGAGAACAAAACCCGGGACGUGUCCCGGACUGCGUGUAUCCGAAGAAAAAGCAUCGGCUAACUCCGUG